Spinacia oleracea (spinach) is the source of this 539-nucleotide long non-coding RNA. RefSeq lists it as uncharacterized. The record is from RefSeq and is a predicted model, not a curated record. The transcript is spliced from 5 exons. NCBI's taxonomy places the organism in Eukaryota, Viridiplantae, Streptophyta, Magnoliopsida, Caryophyllales, Amaranthaceae.
AGGUUCGCCUCGUGUUAUGAAACAGAGGGCAGGUCCUUCUUCCUUAGGAAGCCCUCUUAAAGUAUUGAGUGAGCUAGUGAAAGAGCUGAUACCGCCGUUCUAUUUCCAGAAUGGCUGUCCAGCACCUAAGGAACUAAAGGAGAGAUGUUUGUUUAGAAUAAAUCAGUUUUUUAUGGUCAUACAGAGGGCUUGCCAAUGAAUGAGUUCAAAGCUGUUACAAAGGAAAUAUGUAAGCUGUCAUCCUUCUUCUCUACCGUCCUUUUCCAAAAGAUUGAUGUCAACGAUACAUGAUUUGUCACCAGUGGCUUUCUAGUAAAAAACUUGGUGCUACAAGCAUAAAUUCUAAGAGUUCUAGAACUCAUAUUGUAUUUACUUGCGUGAUUGAAUCCUGGUGCAAGGAAACUCCAUCAAGUAACAUCAACAGUUAAAACUAGGCGAAUCAUCCUUAUUGAUCUUGUUGCAAUGUGAAGAGAUAAACAAGUUUAUGCCGGAAGAGAGUUUGAAAGGGAACGAAAAGAACUGAAGAGUUCUUUGCCACA